AGUGAACGCUGGCGGUAGGCCUAACACAUGCAAGUCGAACGGCAGCACAGUAAGAGCUUGCUCUUACGGGUGGCGAGUGGCGGACGGGUGAGGAAUACAUCGGACUCUACUUUUUCGUGGGGGAUAACGUAAGGAAACUUACGAUAAUACCGCAUACGACCUACGGGUGAAAGCAGGGGAACUUCGGACCUUGCGCGAUUGAAUGAGCCGAGGUCGGAUUAGCUAGUUGGCGGGGUAAAGGCCCACCAAGGCGACGAUCCGUAGCCGGUCUGAGAGGAGGGUCGGCCACACGGGAACGGAGACACGGUCCAGACGCCUGCGGGAGGCAGCAGUGGGGAAUAGGGGACAAUGGGCGCAAGCCUGAUCCAGCCAUACCGCGUGGGUGAAGAAGGCCUUCGGGGUGUAAAGCCCUUUUGUUGGGAAAGAAAAGCAGCAGGUUAAUACGCCGCUGGUCUGACGGUACCGAAAGAAUAAGCACCGGCUAACUUCGUG
RNAcentral lists this ribosomal RNA (492 nucleotides) under uncultured bacterium. RNAcentral's name for it is "partial 16S ribosomal RNA". It matches the Rfam family "Bacterial small subunit ribosomal RNA", at positions 30 to 507 of the family's 1533-position model. The record is from RNAcentral.